AUUCACUUGGGGUGCUGCCUUUCAGCAUGAGAGGCGGCUGAGAUGAUACCCAUAUAACCUGAUGCGGGUAAUGCCGCCGUAGGGAAAAGGAAGUAUA
This 97-nucleotide non-coding RNA is filed under the name uncultured Prevotella sp. RNAcentral describes it as "TPP riboswitch (THI element)". The stretch from base 7 to 86 matches the Rfam family "TPP riboswitch aptamer (THI element)", at positions 10 to 89 of the family's 105-position model. Rfam says of the family: Vitamin B(1) in its active form thiamin pyrophosphate (TPP) is an essential coenzyme that is synthesised by coupling of pyrimidine and thiazole moieties in bacteria. The record is from RNAcentral. Lineage: Bacteria; Pseudomonadati; Bacteroidota; Bacteroidia; Bacteroidales; Prevotellaceae.